This 385-nucleotide long non-coding RNA is filed under the name Capsicum annuum. RNAcentral describes it as "long non-coding RNA (CANN_LNC016674)". The record is from RNAcentral. Lineage: Eukaryota; Viridiplantae; Streptophyta; Magnoliopsida; Solanales; Solanaceae.
AACACAUGGCAUGAUGUCGAGAAUAAAUUGGAUUAUAUAAGGUGCUGAAUAUGUCCACGUCUGUCUUGAUCUUACACCAAAUCACUCUAAGAAUAUCAUGUCAAUGUUUUGCUGGUGGUUUUGAAGCUUGGAGAUUAGUCUUAUGGGUGUUACUUGUAUAGUAGUGGGUGCUCCACAGAAAGAAAAAUGAAACAAACUCAGCUCAUUUCUUGACCAAUUACUAAUUUACUAUUUGCUUUUACCAUUAGCUUUAAAAAAGAAUUUUUUUUAUCAUGUAUGCUGUAGCCUCCAAUUCAUUACCAUGUUUAGUGAAACAAAUCAAAUGAUAUUCUCUAACGUAGUCUUGGUAUACUUCCCACUCCCCUAAUGUUUGACUUAAAAUAGG